UACGUAGGGGGCAAGCGUUACUCGGAAUCACUGGGCGUAAAGCGUGCGUAGGCGGUUGGGUAAGUCUGCUGUGAAAGCCCUGGGCUCAACCUGGGAACUGCAGUGGAUACUGGCCAGCUAGAGUGUGAUAGAGGAUGGUGGAAUUCCCGGUGUAGCGGUGAAAUGCGUAGAGAUCGGGAGGAACACCAGUGGCGAAGGCGGCCAUCUGGAUCAACACUGACGCUGAGGCACGAAAGCGUGGGGAGCAAACAGG
RNAcentral lists this ribosomal RNA (253 nucleotides) under uncultured bacterium. RNAcentral's name for it is "partial 16S ribosomal RNA". It matches the Rfam family "Bacterial small subunit ribosomal RNA", at positions 524 to 776 of the family's 1533-position model. The record is from RNAcentral.